AUUGAACGCUGGCGGCAUGCUUUACACAUGCGAGUCGAACGGUAACAGCACUUCGGUGGCUGACGAGUGGCGCACGGGUGAGUAAUACAUCGGAACGUGCCUAGUAGUGGGGGAUAACUACUCGAAAGAGUAGCUAAUACCGCAUGAGAUCUAAGGAUGAAAGCAGGGGACCUUCGGGCCUUGCGCUACUAGAGCGGCUGAUGGCAGAUCAGGUAGUUGGUGGGAUAAAAGCUUACCAAGCCGACGAUCUGUAGCUGGUCUGAGAGGACGACCAGCCACACUGGGACUGAGACACGGCCCAGACUCCUACGGGAGGCAGCAGUGGGGAAUUUUGGACAAUGGGCGCAAGCCUGAUCCAGCAAUGCCGCGUGCAGGAUGAAGGCCUUCGGGUUGUAAACUGCUUUUGUACGGAACGAAAAGCCCUCUUCUAAUACAGGAGGGUCAUGACGGUACCGUAAGAAUAAGCACCGGCUAACUACGUG
Molecule: ribosomal RNA, 482 nt
Filed under: uncultured bacterium
Lineage: Bacteria
Description: partial 16S ribosomal RNA
Rfam family: Bacterial small subunit ribosomal RNA
Source: RNAcentral